AUGGAGAACAAACUCGAUGACCUAAGAGCAAGAGUCACCUUCCAACGUGACAUGAGGGACUGCAACAUUCUGUGCUUCACGGAGACAUGGCUGACCCCCACCGUGCCGGACCAGGCCGUAACUCCGUCGGAUUCAUUCUUUGUGCUCCGCGCGGACAGAACGGCAGAGUCGAACAAAACAAAAGGUGGAGGAGUGUACUUCAUGGUAAACAGAAAGUGGUGUGAUGCCAGGAGCAUUUCUACUCUUUCCAGCAGCUGCUCGCCACAUCUGGAAUUCCUGAGCAUUAAGUGCCGCCCUUUCUAUCUGCCCCGUGAGUUCAACUCGGUCAUCGCCACGGCAGUCUACAUCCCACCCCAAGCGGACACAGGUAUGGCUUUGUCCGAACUACAUGAUGUGCUGAGUUCGCUUCAAAACAAAGAUCCGGGCGCAGCCCUCAUUGUAGCAGGAGACUUUAAUAAAGCGAACCUCAGACAAGUCAUGCCAAACUUUUACCAGCAUGUCUCGUGUCCAACGAGGGGGGACCGAAUUUUGGAUCACUGCUACACACCAUACAAGCAGGGCUACAAAGCCGUCUCACACCCGGCUUUUGGGAAGUCUGACCACAACGCCAUCUUCCUCAUCCCCCAGUAUAAACAAAACAUACGGAGGGAAGAAGUAACCACAAGGGAGGUGAAACGGUGGUCUGCCCAAUCAGAAGCUACGCUACAGGACGCACUCGACGACGUCGACUGGGACAUGUUCAGAGCAUGCGCAGUCAACAUCAAUGAGUUUACGGAAGUAGCAGUAAGCUUCGUCAACAUGCUAGCGGAGGAGAUUAUCCCCACUGCGAGAGUCACCACAUUCCCUAACCAGAAACCGUGGAUGGACAGAUCGAUCCGCGCUGCAGUAAACGCCAGGACCACCACCUACAACGCGGGUCUUGCCACUGGCGAUAUGAGCGCCUACAAAGCGGCAUCAUACGGCGUGCGGCACGCGGUGAGAGAUGCCAAACGCCGGUACCGGGAGCGUGUGGAGUCCCGCUUCCACCAGGGCAACACACGGAGUAUGUGGCACGGACUACGCACCAUUACGGACUACAAACCCAGGGACACUGCGCCGAUCAACGCCGACUCUGCAUUCACCAAUGAGCUGAACCAGUUCUACGCCCGUUUCGAGGUUAGCCAGGUGGCUAAUGCCAUCUACCGCUGGACUACCGAGGACAAUGACGUCAUCAACGACAGACCGGUGACCAGCUUCGCGGAGCAUGAUGUCCGAGCGGCAUUGAGGAGAGUGAACACAAGGAAAGCGGCGGGGCCAGACGGCAUCACCGGCCGUCUGCUGCGCUGCUGUGCUGACCAGCUAGCAGGUGUGUUCACUUACAUCUUCAACGAGUCCCUGGCGAAGUCUGUGGUCCCCACAUGCUUCAAAAGAUCCACCAUCAUCCCGGUGCCCAAGAACAGCAAACCCUCAUCCCUGAACGAUUACCGGCCAGUUGCGCUGACCUCGGUAGUCAUGAAGGUGUUUGAGAGGCUGCUGAAGAACAUCAUCUCCUCCUCCAUCCCAGACUCCACAGAUCCGCUCCAGUUCGCCUACCGACCCAACAGAUCCACUGAAGACGCCAUCGCCCAUGUCCUGGACACCACCCUCAGCCACGUGGACAAGAAACAGGGUAACUAUGUGAGAAUGCUGUUUGUUGAUUACAGUUCAGCGUUUAACACAAUAGUGCCCAGCAGACUGUUCACAAAGCUGAGGGACCUGGGACUCAACAGCCGUCUGUGUGCAUGGGUGUUGGACUUCCUCACCGGCAGAACUCAGGUGGUGAGGGUGGGUGUGUCUCCGACAGCAUCACCAUCAACACAGGAGCACCACAGGGGUGUGUCCUCUCGCCACUGCUCUACUCCCUCUACACUUCGGACUGUGUGGCCACCCACAGCUCCAACACCAUUGUGA
This is a long non-coding RNA of Oreochromis niloticus (Nile tilapia), 1929 nucleotides long. Lineage: Eukaryota; Metazoa; Chordata; Actinopteri; Cichliformes; Cichlidae. The record is from Ensembl.